RNAcentral lists this long non-coding RNA (209 nucleotides) under Elaeis guineensis (African oil palm). RNAcentral describes it as "long non-coding RNA (EGUI_LNC051318)". Lineage: Eukaryota; Viridiplantae; Streptophyta; Magnoliopsida; Arecales; Arecaceae. The record is from RNAcentral.
AAUGGCAUGGGUUAACUUGAAUCACUUAGCGGUCUAAUCAAAACAUAAUCUAUCAAAUUGGCCAGAUAAGUGAGAUCGGUGGGAGGGUCUGCUAAGCUUGCCUUAGACACCAUCGAAAUGGUAAGAUAAGCUGCUCUUAAUUAAAAACCACCGAUCGAAAUGCCCAACUUAUCUUAGACACUAAUUGAUUAACUAAAUUUGAUUUGACC